Molecule: ribosomal RNA, 125 nt
Filed under: uncultured bacterium
Lineage: Bacteria
Description: partial 16S ribosomal RNA
Rfam family: Bacterial small subunit ribosomal RNA
Source: RNAcentral
CGGUGAAUACGUUCCCGGGCCUUGUACACACCGCCCGUCACGUCACGAAAGUCGGUAACACCCGAAGCCCGUGGCCCAACCCGUAAGGGGGGGAGCGGUCGAAGGUGGGACUGGCGAUUGGGACG